AUGUCUGCACCUCUUCCCACCACCACGCUUCCACCGCAGCCGACCACCACCUCGCCGCCGGCCACCUCCGCGGCUAGGGCGCCGUCCUUGUCGGGGCCGAUGUCUUCCGCCGCUCGCCCCCCUCCCCCUGUCGUCUACACCCCGAAGGAGAUGACGGCUGUCCUCCGAGACCUCACCCAGGCGGUCGCGGGCAUCCGCACUUUUCUCGCCAGCCACUACGGGCCGCAGCCGCCGAGGCCCUUCGCCACCGCGCCACCGCCGCACCCCUCGGCGACGCCCUUCGCUCCCGCCGCGCAACAGCCGCCACCCGCGGCGCACAUCGGCGCCUCCACCAUACAGCCGCAGCAACAGCCCCAUGUCGCGCCCACCGUGGCGCUGUCGCACCAGCAGUUGUAG
Molecule: ribosomal RNA, 396 nt
Filed under: Triticum aestivum (bread wheat)
Lineage: Eukaryota; Viridiplantae; Streptophyta; Magnoliopsida; Poales; Poaceae
Description: partial small subunit ribosomal RNA
Source: RNAcentral